ACGUAGGUGGCAAGCGUUAUCCGGGUUUACUGGGCGUAAAGGGUCCGUAGGUGGUUGGGAGGGUCUGGUGUGAAAGCGCUCGGCUUAACUGAGCGAGGCCACUGGAAACCGCCCGACUGGAGUCGCGCAGAGGGCACUGGAAUUCCCGGUGUAGCGGUGAAAUGCAUUGAUAUCGGGAGGAACUCCAACAGCGAAGGCAGGUCACUGGGCGUUUCCUGACGCUGAGGCGCGAAAGCGUGGGUAGCAAACAG
RNAcentral lists this ribosomal RNA (251 nucleotides) under uncultured prokaryote. RNAcentral's name for it is "partial 16S ribosomal RNA". It matches the Rfam family "Bacterial small subunit ribosomal RNA", at positions 525 to 775 of the family's 1533-position model. The record is from RNAcentral.